Molecule: long non-coding RNA, 947 nt
Filed under: Homo sapiens (human)
Lineage: Eukaryota; Metazoa; Chordata; Mammalia; Primates; Hominidae
Description: HSALNT0152502
Source: RNAcentral
UGCAAAUCACCUACAAUGUUAAAUAUAUAAAACUGCUGUAUUAAGCUCGGAGAAGGAGGAAAAUUUCCUCUUCACUCAUGUGACCGGAGACUAAAAGGAAGGCUCCAGGGGUGCUGCUGGCUGGGAAGAGAACUGGGGAAACUGCCCCAGUAGAGGUGGAGAUGCCAGGGCAGAGGGAACUGGGCUUAACGGGGCAGGGCUGCCUCUAGAAAGAGCCAGCUUUUCUAGCACAGGUUAGGAGUGAGGCAGCAGAACUGGGCUUAACAGGGGGCAGGACUGCCUCUAGAAAGAGCCAGCUUUUCUAGCACAGGUUAGGAGUGAGGCAGCUUCCCACCAGUGAGUCAACCUUGCCAUAAAUUGCCAACAAAUAUGCUCAGGGCGAAAGAACCAGAUCAGAUGUUAUGGGACUCUUUUUCUAAUUACAGAAGUUUCUUCUGUGGGGCAGUUAGCCCCUUCCAAUUAAGAAGUAAUUACAUUCUAAAGGAUUGGUUACAAAGCAAGAUAAACUAAAAAUAGAAAGUGUGAAAUAAGAAUAAAGGCAAAAAAUAAUGGCUAUUUUGCCAGUUACAUUCUUUUUCUUCUUCAUCCCCAAACUAGAAAUCAAUUGAAAAGCAAAAAAUAUUAGGUAACUGAGGCAAAUGUGGUUAGAAACAUCCCAAGUAUACACAAGAAUGAUGAGUUCUAUCCUUACUGAAAUUGCCAUAGAUUCCAUGAAUGGCAUGAGAUCACAUAUGAAAGAUGGUAAUCUACAAUGUUUGUUAAAAGUCACAUAUUACAAUUCAGAUGGGUCCAGAUUAUGUCAAACUGCAAAGAAAUAUCAGCUAAAUAAGUAAAAGGGAUCAUAACUCUAAAACCUAUGACUCCUUAUUAAAUUUACAAGAGGACAGUGGCAGCUUUGCUUGAUAAUUUAUUUAUAAAAAGACACAUGAGGCCAGGCACAGUGGCUC